UAUCAAUCAUGUCCCACUAUAAGCUCC
This 27-nucleotide non-coding RNA is filed under the name Mus musculus (house mouse). Lineage: Eukaryota; Metazoa; Chordata; Mammalia; Rodentia; Muridae. The record is from RNAcentral.